This 460-nucleotide ribosomal RNA is filed under the name uncultured bacterium. Its description in RNAcentral is "partial 16S ribosomal RNA". It matches the Rfam family "Bacterial small subunit ribosomal RNA", at positions 338 to 795 of the family's 1533-position model. The record is from RNAcentral.
CCUACGGGGGGCAGCAGUGAGGAAUAUUGGUCAAUGGACGAGAGUCUGAACCAGCCAAGUAGCGUGAAGGAUGACUGCCCUAUGGGUUGUAAACUUCUUUUAUAUGGGAAUAACAUGUUCCACGUGUGGGAUUUUGUAUGUCCCAUAUGACUAAGGAUCGGCUAACUCCUUGCCAGCAGCCGCGGUAAUACGGAGGAUCCGAGCGUUAUCCGGAUUUAUUGGGUUUAAAGGGAGCGUAGGUGGUUUGUUAAGUCAGUUGUGAAAGUUUGCGGCUCAACCGUAAAAUUGCAGUUGAAACUGGCAGGCUUGAGUACAGUAGAGGUGGGCGGAAUUCGUGGUGUAGCGGUGAAAUGCUUAGAUAUCACGAAGAACUCCGAUUGCGAAGGCAGCUCACUGGACUGCAACUGACACUGAGGCUCGAAAGUGUGGGUAUCAAACAGGAUUAGAUACCCGAGUAGUC